RNAcentral lists this ribosomal RNA (775 nucleotides) under uncultured Neocallimastigales. Its description in RNAcentral is "partial large subunit ribosomal RNA". It matches the Rfam family "Eukaryotic large subunit ribosomal RNA", at positions 23 to 647 of the family's 3401-position model. The record is from RNAcentral. Lineage: Eukaryota; Fungi; Neocallimastigomycota; Neocallimastigomycetes; Neocallimastigales.
CAGAGAGAGACAUGCGCGCAUAUCAAUAAGCGGAGGAAAAGAAACUAACAAGGAUUCCCCUAGUAACGGCGAGUGAAGCGGGAAGAGCUCAAAUUUGAAAUCUUAAAGGGUUUCCCUUUACGAAUUGUAGUUUAAAGAAGUGUUUUCUGUUGAGGUUUUGGUAAAAGUUCUUUGGAAUAGGACAUCAUAGAGGGUGAGAAUCCCGUAUUUGACCUUUACUUUCAACUUUGUGAUACACUUUCAAAGAGUCGGAUUGUUUGGGAAUGCAGUCCAAAAUGGGUGGUAAAUUUCAUCUAAAGCUAAAUAUUGGCGAGAGACCGAUAGCGAACAAGUACCGUGAGGGAAAGAUGAAAAGAACUUUGAAAAGAGAGUUAAACAGUACGUGAAAUUGUCAAAAAGGAAGCGUUUGACACCAGUGUUGUUUUUCUGAAAAUCAAUUAAAGAACUGUUUAUGCUAAGCUGUUUAGACUUUAUCAGCUAACUGUUUAGUUUUGAGCUUUUCUUUAAUGCACUUUUCAGUUAACAAGUCAACAUCAAUUUCUUUUGCUGUAAAAAAGCUUGAGGAAGGUGGCUUGAGAUUCGUCUUAAGUGUUUAUAGCCUCUUGCCUAUGCAGUCGGAGAGAUUGAGGUCUGCAGCGUAGAUCCUUCGGGGCUAAAUGCAUUUGUGCUAAGUUAUAGCAUUUUAUAGACAACUUGUUGACUAUGAUUUGUCUUGUAGCUUACUCGCUUAUGUUAUUUUACCUACGCUUAGGAUGUUGACGCAUGAGAUAUACGC